GAACCGUGCGAACGUUAUUCGGAAUCACUGGGCUUAAAGAGUGCGUAGGCGGCUUCGUAAGUUGGAGGUGAAAUCCCAUCGGCUCAACCGUGGAACUGCCUUCAAUACUGCGAGACUCGAGGGAGGUAGGGGCACGCGGAACUUUCAGUGGAGCGGUGAAAUGUGUUGAGAUUGAAAGGAACGCCAGUGGCGAAAGCGGCGUGCUGGAUCUCUUCUGACGCUGAGGCACGAAAGCUAGGGUAGCGAACGGGGGAUUAGAUACCCCGGUAGUCCUAGCCUUAAACGAUGGGUACUGGGUAAGAAGCGUACUAACGGCGCCUCCUGCCCGAAGCGAAAGUGUUAAGUACCCCGCCUGGGGAGUAUGGUCGCAAGGCUG
RNAcentral lists this ribosomal RNA (376 nucleotides) under uncultured organism. RNAcentral's name for it is "partial 16S ribosomal RNA". It matches the Rfam family "Bacterial small subunit ribosomal RNA", at positions 527 to 896 of the family's 1533-position model. The record is from RNAcentral.